Aphis gossypii (cotton aphid) is the source of this 184-nucleotide long non-coding RNA. RefSeq lists it as uncharacterized. Lineage: Eukaryota; Metazoa; Arthropoda; Insecta; Hemiptera; Aphididae. The record is from RefSeq and is a predicted model, not a curated record. The transcript has 2 exons.
AAAAAAGAGAAUUGUUAAUUCGUUUAAAGGAAUAUUUGCGCUAUUAAUAAUGAAAGUCAAAUAAAAAGUCUUAAAUAUUCAGUGACAAUUGCAUGUAUGUAAAAUGUAUAAUACUACAUAUGCAUUUUUUGUGGCUCCAGUCGGACGCUAGCCACACUUUGACCACGUCCUGCGCAUUGACGCA